This 221-nucleotide unclassified non-coding RNA is filed under the name uncultured Thelephora. RNAcentral's name for it is "sequence contains ITS2". Lineage: Eukaryota; Fungi; Basidiomycota; Agaricomycetes; Thelephorales; Thelephoraceae. The record is from RNAcentral.
ACACCUCAAACUCUCAUGAUUCGCCGUGAUGAGCUUGGACUUGGGGGUUUUGCUGGCUUUGCAGCCAGCUCCUCUCAAAUGGAUUAGCUUGCCAGUGUUUGGUGGCAUCACGGGUGUGAUAACUAUCUACGCUUGUGGUCGUCUGCCAGGUAACCUUCGUCGGUGGAGGUUCGCUGGAGCUUACAAACGUCUCUCCUCAGCAGAGACAGCUUCCUCAACGU